CUUGCAUUCAAGAAAGCUUGGGGGUGGUGGCGGGGAGGAAUAGGAUAGUCUGUAGGUAUUUGAAAGCCAUCUGUGAAAUGGAAUUUGACUUAUUCUGUUGCCUGCAGAGGAGCAGUCAGCAAAAGUUGCAGGACAGAGGAUGAACUAGAUGCAUCACAGAGUCUGUGAUUCUAUAAUGGAAACACUUCCCAAUAUGGAGAGAGCCACUGCUAGCCAGAUGAGGAAACAGAGGCCUACAGAAGAGAACAAAA
Long non-coding RNA from Antechinus flavipes (yellow-footed antechinus), 251 nucleotides. RefSeq lists it as uncharacterized. The record is from RefSeq and is a predicted model, not a curated record. The transcript is spliced from 2 exons. NCBI's taxonomy places the organism in Eukaryota, Metazoa, Chordata, Mammalia, Dasyuromorphia, Dasyuridae.